AGGCUAUCCGCUGUGAGUAUACCCGUUGGUGUGGAGUAACUUGCAUAAAUUAACCUGUGUGAUCGUUGGAGUCCUCCAGGACUAGGAGGGCGGCCCUACCCCUAUAACAGCGUGGUGGGCGAGCCGCUAGAAGUGUACGUCCAAACAGCCACAGCAACGAGACUUUAUUUUGGUCGUGUUUCCAUCGCCCCUCUUUCAGCCCAAGCGCAGUGGAGGACACCGGGCGCUUUCCCUUGUGGUGUUGCACUGAUAGUGUGAGUCAGAGGCGAAAGGGUCCGCCGCCCCCGUGGUCUCUACAAAAGGGCGCCCCUGUCCAGGAUUCGAUCGGCCUACGGGCAGUGGAGGUAGGGCAGCGCUCGACCCGGCGAGGUGGUGUGUGACCUUCGCCCCUCUGCUGACCUACAGAGGAAACCGUACCUACCCAGAAAGCUGUAAGCAGCAGAGCCGGUGAGAGAUACUCGAAGUUUCAGUAACAGUGUCUUUGUGUCCUAGCGACCACCUGUGGAGAGAGAGGAAAACCAGAGUGAAUAAUUGAAGAACAGACUGUGAAUGUGAUACCUACCCAGAAAGCUGUAAGCAGCAGAGCCGGUGAGAAAUACUCGAAGUUUCAGUAACAGUGCCCUUGUAUCCUAGCGACCACCUGUGGAGAGAGAGGAAAACGAGAGUGAAUAAUUGAAGAACAGACUGUGAACGUGAUACCUACCCAGAAAGCUGUAAGCAGCAGAGCCGGUGAGCAAUACUCGAAGUUUCAGUAACAGUGUCUAUGUGUCCUAGCGACCACCUGUGGAGAGAGAGGAAAACAAGAGUGGAUAAUUGAAGAACAGACUGUGAAUGUGAUACCUACCCAGAAAGCUGUAAGCAGCAGAGCCGGUGAGAAAUACUCGAAGUUUCAGUAACAGUGCCCUUGUAUCCUAGCGACCACCUGUGGAGAGAGAGGAAAACGAGAGUGAAUAAUUGGAGAACAGACUGUGAACGUGAUACCUACCCAGAAAGCUGUAAGCAGCAGAGCCGGUGAGAAAUACUCGAAGUUUCAGUAACAGUGUCUUUGUGUCCUAGAGGCCGCCUGUGGAGAGAAAGGAGGACGAGAGUGAACAAUUGGAGAACAGACCGUGUAACGUGCUACCUACCCCGAGAGCAGUAAACAGCAGAACCGGUGAGGAAUAUACCAAAUCCAAGCUAACAGUGUUUCUGUGUCGCAGUGAUCACCUGUGGGGAAUAAGGAGAACGAGGGUGGACGUACGACGGGGAACGUGAAGGCACGCGGGGCGAGACCCCCUGCCGAACUGAGGAAAGGUACACGGACAGUGGGAAAUCCCCUACCAGUCACACCGAAAUUGUCUGCCUCCAGGAAAGAAGAAGGAGGGCGCCACGGUUAGCAGGGUCCAGGCCGGAGCCUGACGUUUCCCUCUUCCCCCCGGCUUAUGGUGGUUGGCACCCCUGUUGCCUUUGCCCCAGUCUGCCCGUGGCUGUAGUCUCCCUGGAGGGAGGAGAAGAAGCCUAUUAGUUUUAAAUUCCCCUUUCCCCAAUUCCCCAGUUCUUUUAAGUAUUUAAAUUAAAUAAAGCUUGUUUUAAAUUUUA
Molecule: non-coding RNA, 1578 nt
Organism: Misgurnus anguillicaudatus (oriental weatherfish)
Lineage: Eukaryota; Metazoa; Chordata; Actinopteri; Cypriniformes; Cobitidae
Source: RefSeq, a predicted model, not a curated record